RNAcentral lists this ribosomal RNA (393 nucleotides) under uncultured Glomeromycotina. RNAcentral's name for it is "SSU rRNA". It matches the Rfam family "Eukaryotic small subunit ribosomal RNA", at positions 703 to 1092 of the family's 1831-position model. Lineage: Eukaryota; Fungi; Glomeromycota. The record is from RNAcentral.
CUGACGAACCAUGAUGUCAUUUAUUUGGUGUUGUGGGGAAUCAGGACUGUUACUUUGAAAAAAUUAGAGUAGUUUAAAGCAGGCUCACGCUUGAAUACAUUAGCAUGGAAUAAUGAAAUAGGACGUUUGAUUCUAUUUUGUUGGUUUCUAGGAUCGACGUAAUGAUUAAUAGGGAUAGUUGGGGGCAUUAGUAUUCAAUUGUCAGAGGUGAAAUUCUUGGAUUUAUUGAAGACUAACUACUGCGAAAGCAUUUGCCAAGGAUGUUUUCAUUAAUCAAGAACGAAAGUUAGGGGAUCGAAGACGAUCAGAUACCGUCGUAGUCUUAACCAUAAACUAUGCCGACUAGGGAUCGGAUGAUGUUAAUUUUUUUAAUGACUCAUUCGGCGCCUUACG